Molecule: ribosomal RNA, 464 nt
Filed under: uncultured bacterium
Lineage: Bacteria
Description: partial 16S ribosomal RNA
Rfam family: Bacterial small subunit ribosomal RNA
Source: RNAcentral
GACGAACGCUGGCGGCGUGCCUAACACAUGCAAGUCGAGCGAAUGAAGUUCCUUCGGGAAUGGAUUUAGCGGCGGACGGGUGAGUAACACGUGGGCAACCUGCCUCAUAGAGGGGAAUAGCCUCCCGAAAGGGAGAUUAAUACCGCAUAAGAUUGUAGUACCGCAUGAUACAGCAAUUAAAGGAGCAAUCCGCUAUGAGAUGGGACCGCGGCGCAUUAGCUCGUUGGUGAGGUAAUGGCUCACCAAGGCGACGAUGCGUAGCCGCCAAGGGAGGGUGAUCGGCGACAUUGGGACUGAGACACGGCCCAGACUCCUACGGGAGGCAGCAGUGGGGAAUAUUGCACAAUGGGGGAAACCCUGAUGCAGCAACGCCGCGUGAGUGAUGACGGCCGUCGGGUUGUAAAGCUCUGGCUUCAGGGACGAUAAUGACGGUACCUGAGGAGGAAGCCACGGCUAACUACGUG